GACGAACGCUGGCGGCGUGCUUAACACAUGCAAGUCGAACGGAAAGGCCCUGCUUUUGUGGGGUGCUCGAGUGGCGAACGGGUGAGUAACACGUGAGUAACCUGCCCUUGACUUUGGGAUAACUUCAGGAAACUGGGGCUAAUACCGGAUAGGAGCUCCUGCUGCAUGGUGGGGGUUGGAAAGUUUCGGCGGUUGGGGAUGGACUCGCGGCUUAUCAGCUUGUUGGUGGGGUAGUGGCUUACCAAGGCUUUGACGGGUAGCCGGCCUGAGAGGGUGACCGGCCACAUUGGGACUGAGAUACGGCCCAGACUCCUACGGGAGGCAGCAGUGGGGAAUAUUGCACAAUGGGCGGAAGCCUGAUGCAGCAACGCCGCGUGCGGGAUGACGGCCUUCGGGUUGUAAACCGCUUUCGCCUGUGACGAAGCGUGAGUGACGGUAAUGGGUAAGGAAGCACCGGCUAACUCCGU
This 467-nucleotide ribosomal RNA is filed under the name uncultured bacterium. Its description in RNAcentral is "partial 16S ribosomal RNA". It matches the Rfam family "Bacterial small subunit ribosomal RNA", at positions 28 to 506 of the family's 1533-position model. The record is from RNAcentral.